CGCUGGCCGGAAUUCGAUGUUGAGGCGUGGGGCAAACCGGCAGGGAUGCCGGUUUAGCCGCCCUAGGCCAUGGAUGGCCGUUGGCGGCGGCGCCACGCAUCAAUGUCGGAUUACGGGCAUGC
Pseudomonas syringae is the source of this 122-nucleotide non-coding RNA. The record is from Rfam. NCBI's taxonomy places the organism in Bacteria, Pseudomonadati, Pseudomonadota, Gammaproteobacteria, Pseudomonadales, Pseudomonadaceae.